Phalacrocorax carbo (great cormorant) is the source of this 2013-nucleotide non-coding RNA. NCBI's taxonomy places the organism in Eukaryota, Metazoa, Chordata, Aves, Suliformes, Phalacrocoracidae. The record is from RefSeq and is a predicted model, not a curated record.
CCCCGGCGAGCGGCGCGAGCUCCCGCUGAGGUAACUGAAACUCCCCCGAAGCACGAAUUUGAGGCAACGCUAAGAAAGGGUGAAAGUUUAACAAAAAGUUUUUUUGACAGAUCAAUUUCUUGAGCUUCCUGAGUCUGUCUCAUGUUUUAAUUCCACCUGGCUCAGCAACUCCAAGACAGUCACGUGACCAGGUAAAGCUCUACCUAAAAGUUAGAUGCUCUCAUACCUUGGAUGAUUCAAAACAGCGCAAACCCAGAAUGAACCCAGAAAAAGUCAAGACGGGCAAAUUACAAGAGAUACAAGUUAAUUCCCUGAGACACAAGUCUCUGCAUGAUACGCAACUCGCUCACAUCCAUUCAUUCCACCCUGCUGGGGAAGAGUGUUCCAAAACUAACCUUUUUAGAAUUUAAAAUAUUUCUACUUGAUAACUGGAAGAAAAUAAGCUGUUUCCAAUAUGCCAAACCAGUGUGGUAAAUCUUUUAAUAAAAAUAGUAAGACACAGUUACUUUGUAAUUUUAAAGGAAGUGAAAAGUGCAUCUUUAUAAUAUUAUGGUAUUAUUGUUAAACAGAUUGCAGUAUCUGAAAUCUAAGUCACUAAACUUUACGAACUCCUCUAUAGCUUGGCAUAACCUUUGAAUGCAUCAAUUUUUCACCUGAAAGUUAGGAUAAUAAAAUGAAUAAAAGACCAUGAGGAUAAUAUAAAGAAUUUUUUUAAGUGUUGUACUAGUAUUAAUUCUCACAUAAUGUGGAAUUAUAAGACGUAAUAUAAAUGGACACAAUAUUUCUGUGCUGUUCAUUGUACCAAUUAAUCAUACAGUUAUUGCUCUAGAAGAUUAACAUUAUUAACAAGAAAACAAAAAAAUUCAACCUUCCUCUCUAGCCCUUUUAAAUGUAACAGUAAAAUACAUGGAUAUGUAUCUAUCCUCAUAACCAGCAAGAGGCUAUGAGGAUAGAGUUAUUUAGUUCCUGAUUUUAUUUUUGCUAAUAUUGUUACUGUCAGCAUAAUUUAGGGGCUUAAAAGUAGAUAUAUCCAUUUUGUUGGCUUGAUGGAUACAUAAAUAUUAAUCAGAAACCUGACCCAAUGCCCAAUAAAGUCAGUAAAAAUAUAUCCUAAUCAUAUUGGAAUAAGAAAGGUUUAGCUUCUGUAAAUGCAGCAGUUUCUCUUGUACAAAUAACACCCCCUAUACUCAGCACAGCAUGUGCAAAGCACAACAAUCAUCACUACAGGUCUGGAGUACCAGAGUGUAAACACAACAAAGAUCUCCCUAUUUACAGCUUGAAGUUCUGCCUUUCUUGAACUCUGUGUCUGGAACUUAUCCUGCCUAGAUUAGAGCGGACAAAGAGAAGUAUUUGUUGCUUCACCUUAAAUUCGCUAUAAAUUUAUCACAAAACAAACAGAUAGUGGGCUUCAUGAAGUACUGGACUGAAGAAGCAGAGGUGCUAUAAACUGGAAACAAAAUAUAUUGAAAGAGGUGUUUGGAUGCUAGCACUGGAAUUGUAUGAAGCACUGCAUACAAACUCAAAAGUAUAUUGUUUCAAAUAUUACAGUUUAUACAAUGCCUCAUAGUACAAUGCUCACAAAUUACCAAAUUAAUAUAAAAAUUAAAAAAGGAAAAAGGACAUCAAGUACUUUCUAUCACUGGAUGAAAAAGCAGCAAAAAUAAACCAGAAAGAAAGGAGAUUCUGAACAUGGAAAUUAGACUCAGAUUUAUGUCCACCCAUGUUCAAAUAUUUUGUAUUAUGAACAUACUCUGUGUUUGUAACGUGCAUUCUAAGUGAGGCUCUUACUGGGCUCCUCAAAGACUACAGUAGUAUGAGACAUGGUUCAAAACAAAUCACAACUGCACCUCAAACGUAAAAUGGUGAUGAAAGAAAAGUACAGUAGAUGCUCCGGCUGCUGAAAUUCUGUUUACUUCAAGCAACACUUCAAGAACACACUAAAUAAUGGUAGUCCACACAUUUAUUAUUUGGUAGGCACAGUAUCGCACUGGAUACUUAACACUCACAUUCCAU